GCCGAUGUAGCUCAGAUGGUAGAGCGCGUCCUUGGUAAGGACGAGGUCACCGGUUCAAUCCCGGUCAUCGGCUCCA
Molecule: transfer RNA, 76 nt
Filed under: Acidobacteriota bacterium
Lineage: Bacteria; Pseudomonadati; Acidobacteriota
Also listed under: 1 other name
Description: Acidobacteria bacterium (activated sludge metagenome) tRNA-Thr
Rfam family: tRNA
About the family: Transfer RNA (tRNA) molecules are approximately 80 nucleotides in length. Their secondary structure includes four short double-helical elements and three loops (D, anti-codon, and T loops). Further hydrogen bonds mediate the characteristic L-shaped molecular structure. tRNAs have two regions of fundamental functional importance: the anti-codon, which is responsible for specific mRNA codon recognition, and the 3' end, to which the tRNAs corresponding amino acid is attached (by aminoacyl-tRNA synthetases). tRNAs cope with the degeneracy of the genetic code in two manners: having more than one tRNA (with a specific anti-codon) for a particular amino acid; and 'wobble' base-pairing, i.e. permitting non-standard base-pairing at the 3rd anti-codon position.
Source: RNAcentral